RNAcentral lists this ribosomal RNA (523 nucleotides) under Salibacterium salarium. Its description in RNAcentral is "Bacillus salarius Bacterial large subunit ribosomal RNA". It matches the Rfam family "Bacterial large subunit ribosomal RNA", at positions 314 to 838 of the family's 2925-position model. The record is from Rfam by way of RNAcentral. Lineage: Bacteria; Bacillati; Bacillota; Bacilli; Caryophanales; Bacillaceae.
UUAUCAAGAAAUCAGGUAGGCGAAGCGGCCUGGAACGGCCCGCGAUACACGGUAACAGCCCGGUAGUCGAAACCUGAUUUCCUCCGGAGUGGAUCCUGAGUACGGCGGGGCACGAGAAAUCCCGUCGGAAUCCGGGAGGACCAUCUCCCAAGGCUAAAUACGACCCAGUGACCGAUAGUGAACCAGUACCGUGAGGGAAAGGUGAAAAGCACCCCGGAAGGGGAGUGAAAGAGAUCCUGAAACCGUGUGCCUACAAGAUGUCGGAGCCCGUUUAUGGGUGACGGCGUGCCUUUUGUAGAAUGAACCGGCGAGUUGCGAUCAUAUGCAAGGUUAAGUGGUAAACAUGGAGCCGAAGCGAAAGCGAGUCUGAACAGGGCGUUUGAGUAUGUGGUCGCAGACCCGAAACCGUGUGAUCUACCCAUGUCCAGGGUGAAGGCAGGGUAACACCUGCUGAAGGCCCGAACCCACGCAAGUUGAAAAUUGCGGGGAUGAGGUGUGGGUAGAGGUGAAAUGCCAAUCGAAC